AGUUGGGGUUUCGGGACUUCAAUCCGGCAGUUCCUGGAACAAUGAUCUACCCUCCAGGAUCCAGCCACAGCACCUGCAAAUCUCCAGGUGAUCCCGCCCGUCUGGCCACAGCUGAUUGGAUGAAGAGACGAUACCCGUCCGAACCGAGCCAAUCAGUUUGCUUUCCCCCAAACACGGAACUGGGGUUUAGGAACCCACUGAGUCUUGGAGGCUGUUUAAACCUCUCUCCCCAACCCACACCAAGAAGUGGAAAAGGUAGCUCAGCAGAGGCAGGCGAAGGAGGGAACAACUGAGAAGAGGCAGGACUAAUCUCUACAUGUACCCAACUUGGGGCUCAAACUCAG
Molecule: long non-coding RNA, 344 nt
Organism: Lynx canadensis (Canada lynx)
Lineage: Eukaryota; Metazoa; Chordata; Mammalia; Carnivora; Felidae
Exons: 3
Source: RefSeq, a predicted model, not a curated record